GUCUCUGUAGUGCAAUGGAUAAUGCGUUGGACUUCAAAUCCCAAGGUCGUGGGUUCGAGUCCCACCUGGGACA
Molecule: non-coding RNA, 73 nt
Organism: Trichonephila clavipes
Lineage: Eukaryota; Metazoa; Arthropoda; Arachnida; Araneae; Nephilidae
Source: the annotation of a GenBank genome assembly